GGACCUGUGGCGCAGUGGUAGCGCGUAUGAUUCCAGAUUAGGCAGCGGCCAAUCAAUUGGACUACCAUAAGGUCAUCCGUUCAAUCCGGGUUAGGUUCA
Molecule: transfer RNA, 99 nt
Rfam family: tRNA
About the family: Transfer RNA (tRNA) molecules are approximately 80 nucleotides in length. Their secondary structure includes four short double-helical elements and three loops (D, anti-codon, and T loops).